Molecule: non-coding RNA, 1212 nt
Organism: Oryctolagus cuniculus (rabbit)
Lineage: Eukaryota; Metazoa; Chordata; Mammalia; Lagomorpha; Leporidae
Source: RefSeq, a predicted model, not a curated record
UUGCUGGCACUCAGAUACGAAAUACAGAUGGCGCAAAUGCACCGCAAGGCCAAACACCGCCCCCAGUGUUAAUAAUUUAUUAACAAAUGUUGUGUCGGAGCCCAUGAGGGGAUGUUCACAUUUUCUAAUUCCCCCUCGGCUACGUGGAUUAUUUAGAAACUUGUUUAAUUUCCAGAGGGUUUGUCUUACUGCACCCCGGUCUACUUCCAUUCUGUGAGAGGACACACUUUGCCUGCUGUCAUCUAAGCUUGCUAAGGCCUCAUAUGCAGUCUGUCUCGCUGUACGGUUCUACGGGCGCUGGAGGGUAUGCACUCUGCUGCUGCCAGGUGGGGUUCUGUAACGGUAAUUCAAGCCAGCUAGCUGUGGGUGCUGCUCACUUGUGUUCUUUGCUGAUUUCCCAUGGCACAGUCCUGCCAUCGCGGAGAGAAGGACAUCUGGAGCUAGUGUUUUGAAUUUGGCUGUCUCUCCCAAUCCUGUCACUUUUUGCUUCAUGAAUUUUGAAGCUCCGGUGUUAGAUGGAAAUGCAUUUGGAGUUCUUACGUCUUCCUGGUGAACUGACCCCUUUGUGACAUGAGCUCAAAUAGAGAAAACCCUAAUGAAGCCUAAAAAAACAAAAACAGCCACUGGUAGCUUUGGGAUCCGCAAGGAGGGAAGGCCUACGCUUCCGGGAAUGGAGAGUCCCUACCUGUACUUCCAGGGAAGAAAAGUCCUUGUCAAGGUCCCUGCGGGUGCCUAAAGGUCAGCCAAUGAGGAUCAGACCCGCCUCAACCUUUAACCCCCAUGCCCUGAAUCUAUAAAAGGAGCUCUCCCAAACACUGACGCGCGACUUACCCGGCCCCACUCUGUUGGGACCGGGGAACCUUGCCCGGGAGCGGAACCCCAAUAAAAGCCUGUGAAUUAACUGAUUUGUCUGCCUGGGAAGAUUUGUUAUGUGCCGGUCACCUUGCAGCCACCACCACUAACAAAACCCCAAACUAUCAGAAGGAAUGAAUGAGUUCAGGGGCCAGUGUUGUGGCACAGAGGGUUAAGCCACGGCCUGUGACAGCGGCAUCCCAUUCGAAUUCUGGCAGGCCCACUUCCUGCUAAUGCGCCCGGGGAAAGCAGCAAAAGGUGACCUAUGUACUUGGACCCCUGCCAACGACAUGGGAGAGCAGGAUGGAAUUCCUGGCUCUGAGCUUUGGCCCAACCAGCAAGACCAUUUGGGGAGGGAAC